GACGAACGCUGGCGGCGUGCUUAACACAUGCAAGUCGAACGAUGAAGCAAAGAAUCGAAGCUUCGGCAGAAAUUCAUUUCGGAUUAGUGGCAGACGGGUGAGUAACGCGUGAGCAACCUACCUCUUACAAAGGGAUAGCCUCGGGAAACCGGGAUUAAUACCAUAUAACAUUGCGACGAAGCAUUUCGAUGCAAUCAAAGCUACGGCGGUAAGAGAUGGGCUCGCGUCCCAUUAACCGGAUGGUGAGGUAACGGCUCACCAUAGUGACGAUGGGUAACCGGCCUGAGAGGGUGAACGGUCACACUGGAACUGAGACACGGUCCAGACUCCUACGGGAGGCAGCAGUGGGGAAUAUUGCACAAUGGAGGGAACUCUGAUGCAGCGACGCCGCGUGAGUGAUGAAGGAAUUCGUUUCGUAAAACUCUGUUCUAUGGGAAGAAAAGGACUGUACCAUAGGAGAAAGCUCCGGCUAAAUACGUG
This 480-nucleotide ribosomal RNA is filed under the name uncultured bacterium. RNAcentral's name for it is "partial 16S ribosomal RNA". It matches the Rfam family "Bacterial small subunit ribosomal RNA", at positions 28 to 507 of the family's 1533-position model. The record is from RNAcentral.